RNAcentral lists this ribosomal RNA (429 nucleotides) under Gemmatimonadota bacterium. Its description in RNAcentral is "Gemmatimonadetes bacterium partial 16S ribosomal RNA". It matches the Rfam family "Bacterial small subunit ribosomal RNA", at positions 355 to 776 of the family's 1533-position model. Lineage: Bacteria; Pseudomonadati; Gemmatimonadota. The record is from RNAcentral.
UAGGGAAUCUUCGGCAAUGGACGAAAGUCUGACCGAGCAACGCCGCGUGAGUGAAGAAGGUUUUCGGAUCGUAAAACUCUGUUGUUAGAGAAGAACAAGGACGUUAGUAACUGAACGUCCCCUGACGGUAUCUAACCAGAAAGCGACGGCUAACUACGUGCCAGCAGCCGCGGUAAUACGUAGGUGGCAAGCGUUGUCCGGAUUUAUUGGGCGUAAAGCGAGCGCAGGCGGUUUCUUAAGUCUGAUGUGAAAGCCCCCGGCUCAACCGGGGAGGGUCAUUGGAAACUGGGAGACUUGAGUGCAGAAGAGGAGAGUGGAAUUCCAUGUGUAGCGGUGAAAUGCGUAGAUAUAUGGAGGAACACCAGUGGCGAAGGCGGCUCUCUGGUCUGUAACUGACGCUGAGGCUCGAAAGCGUGGGGAGCAAACAGG